AACAAGAGCCGCCAUCUUCUCGCGCCUAACGUUUCGUAUGGUUUUGUUCUCUGCAAUCCGCGCACACAGCGCAUCGGUGGCUGCACGUCUGCUCGGCGUCGCAAUGCGGCCUGCGUCAUUUUCUGGUGCUCGCGCAAUCGGUGUGAAACAUGUCGCAUGUGAAAUGUUUGAUAGAAGUGCCUCACGUCCAAGUCAAGCCGCCGUACGGGUGCAUGGCUGUGCGCCCCGUUCUCGAAAGCGUCGACGGGUUUCCGGCAUGCGGAUUUCAGCGUUUGGACUCGACUUUUGGUGAGGAUGUCGAUCGACCUUGGGCCUGGUGACAGCACACCCGACAUCGCCAAAGUUCAGCCUAUCAGUUGAGUGCCCCCGAAUGGACCAUCAACAUCGGAAAAUGAAGCAGAGCCAGGGGGAAAAGGUUCCGGUAACACUGCAUUCAGUAUGGUGGCCCAGACGUGUAUGCAAGCAACCUCCUUCAUGUGGACCAAGAACUACUCUGCAGUGUCUCACAGACUUCCAUGCGAAGCCCUCAACAUUCUCAUCUCAGUGGAAUGGCUGCUCAUCUAUCUGUGUGUCCAUCACCAAGAUGGCCAGUUGUAAAGCUCCUGUACCCGUUUAAGACAGCUUAAUGAUUUUUUUAUUUAGUUUUCAUGGUUGGCCGUAGAAUCUUAACAUUUUUGAUGUUUCUAACGUUUUUACCUGGCCCAAAGUGGUGCAAUAACUUUAAACCAGUGUAAUGUAUUUAAGUGAUGCUCACUCUAAUGCCUAUCUGGUUUUGUUUAUGUUUAAGAAAUUUGAAUGUCUGAUGAGGUAACAGCAUUUAAACUUGUCAUCGUGGCUCUUUUCAGUGAGCUGCUAGGAAAUAAGAUGCAAAACUUAUCACACGCCAGUUGUAGCAUUUUUGUUUUCAAGACUAAAGUAUACAUGUUUCAAAAUAUGGAAAGUGGGGAAAAAAGCCUCAAGAACAUAAUCAUCCUAGGAUUGUCAUGUCCUUACAAAUCUGCAAUGACUAAUGCCUCAUACAUCUUGGGAGCACAUUGGUCGCAAUGCCUACAGGUAUACUUGAUAAGAGAAUAGCUCGCACUCAGAUUUGCCACGCAGUUGAUGGCUGAUAGCUUUUGUUUGUCGUCUUCAUGUUACUCCUAUGUAUUCAAUAUUCAUUUACAUGUGCUGCGGUUUUUUGUAGUCACACACACACACACACACACACACACACACAUAUAUAUAUAUAUAUAUAUAUAUAUAUUCUUCGUUUCAAUAAAAAUUUAGUUGAGAGUUAGCGCUCAUCCUGUCUGCUUCUAGUCUGUGUCCGUGUCACUUCGCGCUACAAUCCAAGAUCAGGUUACUGUACCAACUUGCCCAACUUUUUGUCCUUGUGUUAAAGACACACUCAGACUUGUUCUUACGUAUGUGACCGGUUAUUUUUGUGCUUUAUAAUAAGAUGCAGUGCUUUUCAAAUGAAAACAUGUGAUAGUGCGUAGUGAGGUUAUUUAAAAAAACUGUUCUGCUUAAAAUUUAAUUGAGCAAGCCUGUGCCAUUAUUCGGUGCUUAUGUCUUUGUAUUGGUAUGGUUUUACUCAUCUUCCUUUUUACUUUUAAAAUGUGCAAUCAUUAUUAUGUAACCAUUUCUCUUGAAUGAAAUAAAUAUUUCUGACAU
Long non-coding RNA from Dermacentor albipictus, 1653 nucleotides. RefSeq lists it as uncharacterized. NCBI's taxonomy places the organism in Eukaryota, Metazoa, Arthropoda, Arachnida, Ixodida, Ixodidae. The record is from RefSeq and is a predicted model, not a curated record.